RNAcentral lists this ribosomal RNA (563 nucleotides) under Pseudomonas baetica. RNAcentral's name for it is "bacterial SSU rRNA". It matches the Rfam family "Bacterial small subunit ribosomal RNA", at positions 77 to 636 of the family's 1533-position model. The record is from RNAcentral. Lineage: Bacteria; Pseudomonadati; Pseudomonadota; Gammaproteobacteria; Pseudomonadales; Pseudomonadaceae.
AGCUUGCUCCUGAAUUCAGCGGCGGACGGGUGAGUAAUGCCUAGGAAUCUGCCUGGUAGUGGGGGACAACGUUUCGAAAGGAACGCUAAUACCGCAUACGUCCUACGGGAGAAAGCAGGGGACCUUCGGGCCUUGCGCUAUCAGAUGAGCCUAGGUCGGAUUAGCUAGUUGGUGAGGUAAUGGCUCACCAAGGCGACGAUCCGUAACUGGUCUGAGAGGAUGAUCAGUCACACUGGAACUGAGACACGGUCCAGACUCCUACGGGAGGCAGCAGUGGGGAAUAUUGGACAAUGGGCGAAAGCCUGAUCCAGCCAUGCCGCGUGUGUGAAGAAGGUCUUCGGAUUGUAAAGCACUUUAAGUUGGGAGGAAGGGCAGUAAAUUAAUACUUUGCUGUUUUGACGUUACCGACAGAAUAAGCACCGGCUAACUCUGUGCCAGCAGCCGCGGUAAUACAGAGGGUGCAAGCGUUAAUCGGAAUUACUGGGCGUAAAGCGCGCGUAGGUGGUUUGUUAAGUUGGAUGUGAAAGCCCCGGGCUCAACCUGGGAACUGCAUUCAAAACUGA